UCGAGGGGAAACGGCAUUGAGUGCUUGCACUCUUUGGACGUCGACCGGCGCACGGGUGAGUAACGCGUAUCCAACCUUCCCAUUACUGUGGGAUAACCUGCCGAAAGGCAGACUAAUACCGCAUAGUCUUCGAUGACGGCAUCAGAUUUGAAGUAAAGAUUUAUCGGUAAUGGAUGGGGAUGCGUCUGAUUAGCUUGUUGGCGGGGUAACGGCCCACCAAGGCUACGAUCAGUAGGGGUUCUGAGAGGAAGGUCCCCCACAUUGGAACUGAGACACGGUCCAAACUCCUACGGGAGGCAGCAGUGAGGAAUAUUGGUCAAUGGACGGAAGUCUGAACCAGCCAAGUAGCGUGCAGGAUGACGGCCCUAUGGGUUGUAAACUGCUUUUGUAUGGGGAUAAAGUUAGGGACGUGUCCCUAUUUGCAGGUACCAUACGAAUAAGGACCGGCUAAUUCCGUGCCAGCAGCCGCGGUAAUACGGAAGGUCCAGGCGUUAUCCGGAUUUAUUGGGUUUAAAGGGAGCGUAGGCUGGAGAUUAAGUGUGUUGUGAAAUGUAGACGCUCAACGUCUGAAUUGCAGCGCAUACUGGUUUCCUUGAGUACGCACAACGUUGGCGGAAUUCGUCG
This 624-nucleotide ribosomal RNA is filed under the name uncultured Prevotellaceae bacterium. Its description in RNAcentral is "SSU rRNA". It matches the Rfam family "Bacterial small subunit ribosomal RNA", at positions 62 to 673 of the family's 1533-position model. Lineage: Bacteria; Pseudomonadati; Bacteroidota; Bacteroidia; Bacteroidales; Prevotellaceae. The record is from RNAcentral.